GAUGAAGAACGUAGCGAAAUGCGAUAAGUAAUGCGAAUUGCAGAAUUCAGUGAAUCAUCGAAUCUUUGAACGCACAUUGCGCCCGCUAGUAUUCUGGCGGGCAUGCCUGUCUGAGCGUCAUUUCAACCCUCGCCCCCGGCUUUUGCUGGGAGCGGUGUUGGGGAUCGGCCGCCCGUCACUGGGAGGCCGGCCCCGUAAUAGAGUGGCGACCACGCCGUGUGCUCCUCUGCGUAGUAGUAAAUCACCUCGCAGGCGGACAGCGGUGCGGCCUGCCGUAAAACCCCCAACUCUUUCUGGUUGACCUCAGAUCAGGUAGGAAUACCCGCUGAACUUAAGCAUAUCAAUAAGCGGAGGA
This 355-nucleotide unclassified non-coding RNA is filed under the name soil metagenome. Its description in RNAcentral is "partial contains 5.8S ribosomal RNA, internal transcribed spacer 2, and large subunit ribosomal RNA". The stretch from base 1 to 120 matches the Rfam family "5.8S ribosomal RNA", at positions 35 to 154 of the family's 154-position model. The record is from RNAcentral.